UCCUGGCUCAGGAUGAACGCUGGCGGCGUGCUUAACACAUGCAAGUCGAACGCUGAAGCUCCCAGCUUGCUGGGGGUGGAUGAGUGGCGAACGGGUGAGUAUCACGUGAGUAACCUGCCCUUGACUCUGGGAUAAGCCCGGGAAACUGGGUCUAAUACUGGAUAGGACUGGCCAUCGCAUGGUGGUUGGUUGAAAGCUUUUGCGGUUUUGGAUGGACUCGCGGCCUAUCAGCUUGUUGGUGGGGUAAUGGCCUACCAAGGCUUUGACGGGUAGCCGGCCUGAGAGGGUGACCGGCCACACUGGGACUGAGACACGGCCCAGACUCCUACGGGAGGCAGCAGUGGGGGAUAUUGCACAAUGGGCGCAAGCCUGAAUGCAGCGACGCCGCGUGAGGGAUGACGGCCUUCGGGUUGUAAACCUCUUUCAGUUGGGAAGAAGCCUUUCGGGGUGACGGUACCUUCAGAAGAAGCACCGGCUAACUACGUGCCAGCCGCUGC
This 497-nucleotide ribosomal RNA is filed under the name uncultured bacterium. RNAcentral's name for it is "bacterial SSU rRNA". It matches the Rfam family "Bacterial small subunit ribosomal RNA", at positions 17 to 518 of the family's 1533-position model. The record is from RNAcentral.